RNAcentral lists this non-coding RNA (25 nucleotides) under Rattus norvegicus (Norway rat). Lineage: Eukaryota; Metazoa; Chordata; Mammalia; Rodentia; Muridae. The record is from RNAcentral.
UUUCUCUUGCUGUUCCGCUCUGGGC